This 253-nucleotide ribosomal RNA is filed under the name uncultured bacterium. Its description in RNAcentral is "partial 16S ribosomal RNA". It matches the Rfam family "Bacterial small subunit ribosomal RNA", at positions 524 to 776 of the family's 1533-position model. The record is from RNAcentral.
GACAGAGGGUGCAAACGUUGUUCGGAAUUACUGGGCGUAAAGCGCAUGUAGGCGGUUCGUAAAGUCAGAUGUGAAAGCCCUGGGCUUAACCCAGGAAGUGCAUUCGAAACCGCUCGGCUCGAGUCCCGGAGAGGAAGUUGGAAUUCUCGGUGUAGAGGUGAAAUUCGUAGAUAUCGGGAGGAACACCGGCGGCGAAAGCGGACUUCUGGACGAGGACUGACGCUGAGAUGCGAAAGCGUGGGGAGCAAACAGG